Molecule: ribosomal RNA, 253 nt
Filed under: uncultured bacterium
Lineage: Bacteria
Description: partial 16S ribosomal RNA
Rfam family: Bacterial small subunit ribosomal RNA
Source: RNAcentral
UACAGAGGGGGCAAGCGUUAUUCGGAAUUAUUGGGCGUAAAGGGCGCGUAGGCGGCUUUGCAAGUGACGGGUGAAAUCCCUCGGCUUAACCGAGGAACUGCCUGUCAAACUGCAUGGCUUGAGACCGGGAGAGGUGAGUGGAAUUCCCAGUGUAGCGGUGAAAUGCGUAGAUAUUGUGAGGAACACUAGUGGCGAAGGCGAGUCUCUGGACAGUUCCUGACGCUGAGGCACGAAGGCCAGGGGAGCAAACGGG